CUUCGGAUAAUGGCGGCUUGCCUUGCAUUUUAGCUUGGUUGGUGGCUGUUAGUCGGGUGGUCUCGGGGAUGUCUACCGUAAAGGUGCAUGAGUGGUGUUUGGUUUGUUACGGGUGGUUGGCUCUUUGCUUGCGCAACAACUUCCACCCUGCAUACCUCUUCAGUUUUGUGUCAACGCGUGUAUCGCGUUAACGCAAUGUGGGUUUCUUGUGUUGCAUGCCUAACCGAUGGUAUCGUUUGACGAACAUGUAUCUAUUUUCGUCUUGUGUCGCACUUGCGAUGCGGGAUGAACCUUAAAGCAGCCUUUCUGAUCCACUCUUUUGAUUGCACACGCAUCGAUUUUGUGGCCCAUUGAGUGCUGCCCGGACUCAUCGAUAUGGAACCUCCAGUGGGCAUGGGAUCUUUUACUAGCUCCUUGUUUGCCCUAGUUAAGCUUUUCAAAUACGAUUCCCUAUCGCGUGUAAACGUGGUAGGCUAUAUCGGAUAUGAAUG
Molecule: unclassified non-coding RNA, 491 nt
Filed under: Epitriche demissus
Lineage: Eukaryota; Viridiplantae; Streptophyta; Magnoliopsida; Asterales; Asteraceae
Description: partial external transcribed spacer
Source: RNAcentral